AGCUUUGGCAUCCUGAUUCUACACCAGCCAGCAUGGGAGACAGGAGGGAAAGAGCUUUUUUCCUCCCGACGUGCGCCCAUCACGCUUCAUGGCUGAGCGAUGACUGUCAUGUUGUUCUGCUGCUGCUACAGCUUGUAUACCAACCACUGACUGUUCUCACGACGACACCAUGAAGGGAAACUGUCACGAUUCCCAUUUCACAGGUGACAAAGAGACGUAACAAAGUCAUGGAACUUACCUAAGGUUAAAAGUAGAGUCCAAAUCUGUGAGGAAACACAGAAGCACACUUGGGAGAAGCCAAGGCUUAUGCCUGAACCUUGUUUUUCUGGGGAUGAGCCUUAUCACGGGCGCUGAGGACCCAGCAGGCAACACGACAGGCGAGAUGCCUUUCUUCACAGAAAUGCCUGCCUCAGAGGAGACAGAACUCGUACCCCAGAGGACCAAAUUCCUGCUCUGAUAAAUGUGAAGAGAUGAGGGGAUUGCCUGAUGAAGUGUCGCAACGACACUGGUAGCAAGGACGCUGAUAAGCACAUCUUGGCCAUAACAGAGAAAUGAGCAUGUUCUAUGGCCAGGUGGAUAUUGUGGAUUUGCUUAUUAGGAAAGAAUGAAGAUGCAUUACUUCAUAUAUGGGGAGGGGCUGCCAUUUUCCCCCUUUCACUCAGUAUUAUGUGGUGACAUCUUUCUCUGCAAAUAAAUAUAGAUCUGUAUAAUUUUAAA
Molecule: non-coding RNA, 717 nt
Organism: Vicugna pacos (alpaca)
Lineage: Eukaryota; Metazoa; Chordata; Mammalia; Artiodactyla; Camelidae
Source: RefSeq, a predicted model, not a curated record